RNAcentral lists this unclassified non-coding RNA (1990 nucleotides) under Diabrotica virgifera virgifera (western corn rootworm). RNAcentral describes it as "zinc finger protein 239-like". Lineage: Eukaryota; Metazoa; Arthropoda; Insecta; Coleoptera; Chrysomelidae. The record is from RNAcentral.
CUUUCCUUUCAUCUUUCAUUUUCCAAAUUGUUCCAAAUUCCAAAACAAACAAAAACAAACCAUCAAACCAAUAAAUAAAAAUAAACGAAUAAAAGAAAAUCAAAGAACCAAAACCAAAGGAAAAACAACUCCCAUAAUCAUACUAUCAUACAGAAAUAUUAUUAAUACCUUGAUUAAAGUGCAAUAAAUAUUACGAGAGUUCAAUGGAAGUAAAACCAGAACAAGACAAUUAUUUUUCGGAAGAAUGUAAAAUCAAAAUAGAAAAUCAGGAAUUGCUGUAUGUUGGAUCUUCCUAUUCUGUAAAAAGUGAAAUAAAGGAAGAAUUAGUUAAGACAGAUUCGUUUAUUGCUGAUUCCAGUUCUUUUGUGGAAAACAACUUUAAAGCUGAACUAAAACAUAUUGAAAAUGUGAUGGAACCUAAACAUGCAGUUAAGGAGGAAUCUGACCAAAGUCACUCGGAGAGUCAACUAUGUACAUCAAUUAUCCUUGAAGACCUUAAGGAUGAACCAAAAGGAGAUGUUUCAGGUUAUCAAGAGUCUAAUAGUUUACACCUUGAAGAAAAAACAUGUUCAAUAUGUUGCAAGCAGUUUUCUCGAAAAGAUGAUUUAGAAAGACAUAUUCAAACUCACUCUAAAAAAACUUAUCAAUGCGAAAUAUGUUUCAAAUGGUUUCAUCGACGUAGUUAUCUCAACUCUCAUAUAAGAAAGCACACUGAAGAGAAACUUUAUCAAUGUAAAAUUUGUUCUAAGUCGUUUUCGCAUGGGGGUGCUUUGAACAUACAUGUCAAAAAGCACAAUGGAGAAAAACCAUUUCAGUGUGAAGUUUGCUCCAAAUCGUUUUUUCAAUCAAGUGAUCUUAAAAUACACAUGAGAAUUCAUACGGGAGAAAAACCUUAUCAAUGCGAAAUUUGUUUGAAUUAUCAUUCCCGAAGAGACGAUUUGAAAAGACAUAUGAGAAAGCACACAGGCGAGAAACCUUAUCAAUGCGAAAUUUGUUCAAAGUCAUUUUCCCAUGCAGGUACUUUGAAAGAACAUAUGAGGACACACUCCGGAGGAAAACCUUAUCAAUGUGAAGUUUGUUCCAAGCUGUUUUCACAUACAAGUGCUUUGAAAGUACAUAUAAGAAAACACACUGGCGAAAAACCUUAUCAAUGCGAAAUGUGUUUAAAGUCGUUUUCCCAUGCAGGUACUUUGAAAGAACAUAUGAAACUUCAUACUGGAGAAAAGCCUUAUCAAUGUGAAAUUUGUUCCAAGUCAUUUUCACGAAGGACUGCUUUGAAAGUACAUAUCAGAAAACACACUGGCGAAAAACCUUAUCAGUGUGAAAUUUGUUUAAAAUCAUUUUCUCAGUCAGGUGAUUUGAAAAAACAUACAAUGAGAAUGCACACUCAGAAUCAGCAAAGUCUGCAAAUCUGAGCUCUUCCUGCCGAUGCCACCCUGUACGUCUAAUCACCCAGAAAUCUUAUGGCCUCACAGAAAGCCAAAAGUCUCUUAAAAGGUACCUCCCUCACCUGGCUCGGCUGCAUAGAUGCCGAUUCCAGGAUCUCCCACCUCUGAUAGGCCAAUGCCGGGUACCAGAGAACUUGUGAGGAGAUUUCCUCCUCAUCAUUACAUAGACGGCACCGUGAGCCAUCCGCCAGUCCAAGCAGAUGAAGGUGCAGUCGGAGUCUACAGUGGCCGGUGAGCAUACUGACCACCAGAAAGCAUCUUAUACGAUCUAGAAGAAGCAGUUGGGCUGUGAGACUUUUGGAUGGCCUCACUAUGUGGAGCCUAGCCUGUCUCAAACCUCCACAACUGGCCCAGGAGUCAUGGAACCUCCGCAGAAGAAGCUCCCUGAGUCUACCCCGACCAGUACUGAAGGGCACUGCAAUCACAGGUUCUAAUUUGAAUGAAAAUAUUGUGUCGUAAAGUCUAGUUAUCAAGAGUCAAAUAAUAGUUUGCACAUUGAAGAAAAUUCAUGUCCAGUUUGUUGCAAGCAGUUUUCUCGAAAG